Molecule: long non-coding RNA, 1246 nt
Filed under: Gossypium barbadense (sea-island cotton)
Lineage: Eukaryota; Viridiplantae; Streptophyta; Magnoliopsida; Malvales; Malvaceae
Description: long non-coding RNA (GBAR_LNC004850)
Source: RNAcentral
GACAUUAUUACAUAGAUUGGCAUAAUAAUUAUGUUCAUUUUUUUUUUUCAUUUGAACGAUUACCAACCAAAGAAAAAUGAAAAUAUUAAUACAAAAUAAAAAAAAAUCAUACAGAAAAAAACAUUAAUUGCACGUGCUGGCUGCUAGAAGAACUAACAAAAAUUGCAGUUAAUGUUGCAAGCCAUCAGCAAAAAGAAAAAAAUUCCCCCAGAAUACUCCCCUUUUCCAGUUCAUUGGUGGGCCAUUUCAUGUACCAAAAACUUGUAGUAAUUCCAAAUGAUUUUAGCUUACUACAACUAUACAUAUUAGGCAUGCCACUUGUUUGAAAUACUCAAAGAAUUAUUCGGUUUUUUACUUAUCGAUAAAUGUAGGGUGUAAUGAUAAAAUAUAUUACACAUUUAGAGAGAGAAUUUGAUUUGAAUUCUAAAGACGACACUAUUGGGAGGAGCAUCCACGAACCUUGAAAGAAUUAGUUUAGAUACCUUAAUAAGUCAUAGUCGUUAAGGCACAUUGUGCACUUAGAGAGAGAAUUUAGGUUUCAACUCUGAAGACAACAUUGUUGAGAGGGACAAUCACGAACCCUAAAAAGAUUAAUCUUCAUAAAUCAUAAAAUAAACAUGAAAAGUAUUUAAUUUAAAAAAUAAUUUGCACCAACAACACUAACCCAUAAAUAAAUGUGGCUGAGCACAUCUAUGUAUAAAUGAUAAGCAUAUAAUAUAUAUAUUCCUUGUUAGAAGAAGAGAGCCCUUAUUCACACACAUGAAACUGAUAAAAUCCAAGGCAAAACUGUUGGUUGGUUUUGCAUUUCAAACCCUCGAUAAAUAAUUUAUUAUGAUGAUACAAUAACAAUAUGUAUAUAUAUAUAUUUUUUUGCUUCAUUUAAAUUACACUGUUGUCAAAGACAAAACAGAGGAUCAACCAAACAAUUCAAACUUACAGCAAAUAGAACUUGGAACACUGACCAUGAAAAGAAAUAAAACAACCUGCUAAUUCUACAAAACAAAAUUUCACCACCAAACUUUAAACAUUUACGCCCGAUUAACACCUGCCAUCGCCAAGGAGAAAGCCAUAUCGUUACCAUUCUUUUCCGUCAAUGAGAAAAUAAUAGAAUUCCCACCUUAAACAUAGCGAUCUCAAUAUAUAUUAUAAGAUUAUUGUUAUAAUAUUUAAUACAAACCAUAUCUAGAUUAAACCAAUGAGAUGAGAAAGGAACAUAUUAUAUAAUGCAUGAAAGCCAGAAGAGUCC